Molecule: ribosomal RNA, 382 nt
Filed under: uncultured eukaryote
Lineage: Eukaryota
Description: SSU rRNA
Rfam family: Eukaryotic small subunit ribosomal RNA
Source: RNAcentral
AGCUCCAAUAGCGUAUAUUAAAGUUGUUGCGGUUAAAAAGCUCGUAGUUGGAUCUCGGCGGGUAGAAGGCGGUGCACUUGCUAGUGCUACUGCCUUAUUACCCGUAGUUUUUGCUAGAGGUUUCAGGGUGCUCUUAAUCGAGUGUCUUGGAAUGCUAGCAGGUUUACUUUGAAAAAAUUAGAGUGCUCAAAGCAGGCUUAUCACGCUUGAAUAUUCGUGCAUGGAAUAAUAGAAUAGGAAGUCGUUUCUAUUUUGUUGGUUUUCGGAAAUCGACUUAAUGAUUAAUAGGGACAGUCGGGGGCAUUUGUAUUCAAACGACAGAGGUGAAAUUCUUGGACCGUUUGAAGACAAACUACUGCGAAAGCAUUUGCCAAGAAUGUUU